AGGCUAAGCUAGUGGGAGAAAAGUUUCAGUGCAUUCCGUUGAUGCAGACGGUGUGAAAACGGAAACAAGUAUGCCGGCUCACUGUGCUGCAUACAGUUACACACUACGUCGUACGAUUGAGACAAGGAAACUUGGAAUGACUUUUCAUCGGUUUCCCAGAGACUAUGGGUUGAGGAGGAAUUGGAAGUUUGUCGGCUUAGACCUGGUGUCAUUCCAUCAGUGUUAAACUUCCCAGCUCAUCUUGGAAGAGUACGUGCCAGAAAGACCACGACCAAGCAGCCUUGAGAUCUUAGGCAGCGUCUCCCUGAGGUCCCUCUCUAUCUCCCCACACAUCCACCAACCACUGGAACACAUCUCCAAAGUUCUGCCGGGCCAGCUCAGCUUCCCCUCAGAAGAAGUGCCGCCACCUGCCAGAUGAAGGAGCCUUUUGAGAGGCAGCUGGCAUCGUGAUUGGACUGUACUUUGGUCUGUUCCAAUCCAGCUUCAGCUCCAGAGACGGCAGGCGGGACGAGUCAACGGAGGCCUGGUGGACGAAGGCAUGCAGCUGAGUACAAUCCAGAAAACAACAGAGGAGGAGUGCAGCAGCCCAGGGCCAGAACAAACAGAGUAGCAUCGUAUGUCUCUUAGAAAACAUCAUAGUAUAGCCUUUGGUAUGAAAAAACACCAUCAUAUACAUCGUAUAUUGUACAAAUAACAAGUCAAAGGAAAGAGACAUACAUUGUAGAAUUGUAGUAAUUGUGGGCUGACUGAUUUACUGAUUAUCAGUAUUUUAUUUUUUACUGAUUUACGGUAAUAAAUACAUUUAAAAAUGG
Amphiprion ocellaris (clown anemonefish) is the source of this 812-nucleotide long non-coding RNA. RefSeq lists it as uncharacterized. The record is from RefSeq and is a predicted model, not a curated record. The transcript is spliced from 3 exons. Lineage: Eukaryota; Metazoa; Chordata; Actinopteri; Pomacentridae.